GAGGCGUUAGCUCAGUCGGUAGAGCAUUUCCCUUUUAAGGAAGUGGUCCCGGGUUCAAGUCCCGGACGCCUCA
This 73-nucleotide transfer RNA is filed under the name Leptospiraceae bacterium. Its description in RNAcentral is "tRNA-Lys". It matches the Rfam family "tRNA". Rfam says of the family: Transfer RNA (tRNA) molecules are approximately 80 nucleotides in length. Their secondary structure includes four short double-helical elements and three loops (D, anti-codon, and T loops). Lineage: Bacteria; Pseudomonadati; Spirochaetota; Leptospiria; Leptospirales; Leptospiraceae. RNAcentral also lists the same sequence under 3 other names. The record is from RNAcentral.